This 237-nucleotide long non-coding RNA is filed under the name Ananas comosus (pineapple). Its description in RNAcentral is "long non-coding RNA (ACOM_LNC023282)". The record is from RNAcentral. Lineage: Eukaryota; Viridiplantae; Streptophyta; Magnoliopsida; Poales; Bromeliaceae.
GGGCGUUUCGGUGCGCAUAGGCGCGAAAACGGAGCCGAAAGGCCAUGUUGGGCCGUGAGCUAAAUCCGGCAUUAGCGAGGAUGGAAAGAUGAUGAAAACAUGUUUGAAAACAUGUUUGGAGAGUCUCGGUUCGAUUUGAGACGAAUCGGAGGUCAAACGAACGAAAACGGGCGAAAACGGAGUGAAAACGGACGAAGCUGAAAAUUGGCUAAGUCUGGGCUGGAGGUCUCUCUGGGA